This 408-nucleotide ribosomal RNA is filed under the name Triticum aestivum (bread wheat). RNAcentral describes it as "partial small subunit ribosomal RNA". Lineage: Eukaryota; Viridiplantae; Streptophyta; Magnoliopsida; Poales; Poaceae. The record is from RNAcentral.
AUGGCUAAUGUGCUAAGAAGGAUGGAUAGUGAUGUGCCGGCGACAGGAGUCUUCCAUGGUUAUACGCUAGAUGCAAAAAAGGAAUUUCUUCGUUUUGACAAUGAUGAGAGUCGCUUCAAAGCUCUUAUAGAUAUCAUUGACAAGAGGUGGGACAACAAACUCAGGACGCCACUAGAUUUGGCUGGGUACUUUCUCAAUCCCUACUAUUACUAUCCAAACAAGAAUACAAUCGAGAAUGAUGGAUCAUUCAGGGCAGCCGUCAUCCAUUGCAUUACAAGGAUGAUUCAAGAUGAAAUGUUGCAAGAGGAGAUUAUUGACGAACUCAACAUAUAUGAAGAAGAGGCUGACUCUUUUGGAACGGACAUUGCCACACGGCAGAGAAGAAACAAAGAAAUUGAUCCAGGUUAG